UACGUAGGGUGCAAGCGUUGUCCGGAAUUACUGGGCGUAAAGAGCUCGUAGGUGGUUUGUCGCGUUGUUCGUGAAAUCUCACGGCUUAACUGUGAGCGUGCGGGCGAUACGGGCAGACUAGAGUACUGCAGGGGAGACGUGAAUUCCUGGUGUAGCGGUGGAAUGCGCAGAUAUCAGGAAGAACACCCGUGCUAAGGCGGCUCUCUAGUACGGUACUGACGCUGAGACGCGAAAGCGUGGGGAGCGAACAGG
Molecule: ribosomal RNA, 252 nt
Filed under: uncultured bacterium
Lineage: Bacteria
Description: partial 16S ribosomal RNA
Rfam family: Bacterial small subunit ribosomal RNA
Source: RNAcentral